This 47-nucleotide ribosomal RNA is filed under the name Limnodrilus paraclaparedianus. Its description in RNAcentral is "partial 28S ribosomal RNA". The record is from RNAcentral. Lineage: Eukaryota; Metazoa; Annelida; Clitellata; Tubificida; Naididae.
CGACCUGAGAUCAGACGARAUUACCCGCUGAAUUUAAGCAUAUUAAU